Molecule: long non-coding RNA, 209 nt
Organism: Pantherophis guttatus
Lineage: Eukaryota; Metazoa; Chordata; Lepidosauria; Squamata; Colubridae
Source: RefSeq, a predicted model, not a curated record
UUGGAUUCCAGAUACUCCAUGGCUUCACAGACAUCCUUGCACAUAUCUAAAAGCUCAGAGGCCUGGAAGGACCGCCGAGUAUCCCGCAGAUACCACCUAAAACACAAUAAGAUAGUUGUCAAGAAAGAACACCGAGGAUGAAGGUCAAGCACAGAGCCUCGUGGGAGGGAUUUAUUUGGAGUAAAGAAUGAAAAUGAAAUUCUCCAAAA